GGAAUAUUGGACAAUGGGCGCAAGCCUGAUCCAGCCAUGCCGCGUGUGUGAAGAAGGCCUUCGGGUUGUAAAGCACUUUCAGCGAGGAGGAAGGGUGUUGUUUUAAUAGAAAAGAAUUUUGACGUUACUCGCAGAAGCAGCACCGGCUAACUCCGUGCCAGCAGCCGCGGUAAUACGGAGGGGGCAAGCGUUCAUCGGAAUGACUGGGCGUAAAGCGCACGUAGGCGGUAUGUUAAGUUGGAUUUGAAAGCCCCGGGCUCAACCUGGGAAUUGCAUUCAAAACUGGCAUGCUAGAGUAUGUGAGAGGGGGGUAGAAUUCCAAGUGUAGCGGUGAAAUGCGUAGAGAUUUGGAGGAAUACCAGUGGCGAAGGCGGCCCCCUGGCACAAUACUGACGCUCAGGUGCGAAAGCGUGGGGAGCAAAC
RNAcentral lists this ribosomal RNA (423 nucleotides) under uncultured bacterium. RNAcentral describes it as "bacterial SSU rRNA". It matches the Rfam family "Bacterial small subunit ribosomal RNA", at positions 358 to 773 of the family's 1533-position model. The record is from RNAcentral.